GCAGUCGAGCGGAUGAGAGGAGCUUGCUCUUCGAUUCAGCGGCGGACGGGUGAGUAAUGCCUAGGAAUCUGCCUAGUAGUGGGGGACAACGUUUCGAAAGGAACGCUAAUACCGCAUACGUCCUACGGGAGAAAGUGGGGGAUCUUCGGACCUCACGCUAUUAGAUGAGCCUAGGUCGGAUUAGCUAGUUGGUAGGGUAAAGGCCUACCAAGGCGACGAUCCGUAACUGGUCUGAGAGGAUGAUCAGUCACACUGGAACUGAGACACGGUCCAGACUCCUACGGGAGGCAGCAGUGGGGAAUAUUGGACAAUGGGCGAAAGCCUGAUCCAGCCAUGCCGCGUGUGUGAAGAAGGCCUUCGGGUCGUAAAGCACUUUAAGUUGGGAGGAAGGGCUCAUAGCGAAUACCUGUGAGUUUUGACGUUACCAACAGAAUAAGCACCGGCUAACUUCGUGCCAGCAGCCGCGGUAAUACGAAGGGUGCAAGCGUUAAUCGGAAUUACUGGGCGUAAAGCGCGCGUAGGUGGCUUGAUAAGUUGGAUGUGAAAUCCCCGGGCUCAACCUGGGAACUGCAUCCAAAACUGUCUGGCUAGAGUGCGGUAGAGGGUAGUGGAAUUUCCAGUGUAGCGGUGAAAUGCGUAGAUAUUGGAAGGAACACCAGUGGCGAAGGCGACUACCUGGACUGACACUGACACUGAGGUGCGAAAGCGUGGGGAGCAAACAGGAUUAGAUACC
This 733-nucleotide ribosomal RNA is filed under the name uncultured bacterium. RNAcentral's name for it is "bacterial SSU rRNA". It matches the Rfam family "Bacterial small subunit ribosomal RNA", at positions 57 to 786 of the family's 1533-position model. The record is from RNAcentral.